Molecule: long non-coding RNA, 2686 nt
Organism: Hypanus sabinus (Atlantic stingray)
Lineage: Eukaryota; Metazoa; Chordata; Chondrichthyes; Myliobatiformes; Dasyatidae
Exons: 3
Source: RefSeq, a predicted model, not a curated record
UUAAUGUUAGAAGCAGAUGUCAUUUCAAUAGAACUGAACAGUCUGGGGUACUAUAUGCAACAUGACUGGUGAUAAAAUGGCAUGUGUUGUUUUUGCUAGAUCAACGCAAGAGGCCAGAGGCGGCGAGAUCAGAGAGAAAGCAGGAUGGUGAAUAAAAGUGGGAUACAACUGAAAAUUUGGUGUUGCCCCUGUGGGUUGAACAAUGGGCUUCAGUAAAGACUUCAUGCAAUCUUCAGUGCUGAGGAGACCACACUAAGAAGAAGAAUAGCCCUUAACUUGGCAGUGGAGUUAUCGGGUUAUCGUCAUGACGGUGUUUCCGUAGCAAGCUAUUCUUGUUUUUACGAGGCCGAGUUGCUAGCUCGACGCCCAACCCGACCUGGAUUCGAACUCGGGAACCUUCGCUCCGGAGUCCGGCGCUGAUAUUAUUGCACCACCAAGCGGGACAUUUUCUUGCAGGAUGAAAGUAACAGUAGGAGCUGGUCUCUACUAUGAGUGGACUACAUUCAGUAACGGAAGCUGAACAUUCCCUGUGCCUCUACUGAGUGGCUUUUAUUCAUGAAGGUUUGACAAAGUGGGACAUCAUGCACAAAUUACAUUUCUUCCUGAUGGCAGCAAAGAGAAGAGAGCGUGGCCUGGAUAGUGGAGUUCCCCAAUGAUGGAUGCUGCUUUCCUGUGACAGCACUCUGUGUAGAUGUGCUCAAUGGUGGGGAAGGCUUCAUCCGUAAUAGACUGGGCCGUAUACACUACUUUUUGUAGGAUUUUCCAUUCAAGAGUAAUGGUGUUUCCAUACCAGGCUGUGAUGUAGCCAUCCAAUAUAGUCUCCACCUCACAUCUAUAGUAGUUUAUCAAUGUUUUAUCUGUCAUGCUAAAUCUUCACAAACUUAUAAGAAAGUACUGUAGAGGCACUGCCACGUUUUCUUCAUAAUUGUACUUGUGUACUGCGACAGGACAAGUCCUCUGAAAUAAUAACACUGAGGACAUUAAAGUUGCAGAUCCCCCAAUGAGCACUGGCUCAUGGACCUCUGGUUUCCUCUUCCAGAAGUCCAGUUUCCUCCUCUUGCGGUCAAUAAUCAACUCCUUAGUCUUGCUGAAAUCGAGUGAGAGGUUGUUGUUGUGACACCACUCAGCCAGAUUUUCAAUCUCCCUCCUGUAUGCUGAUUCACCACCACCUUUUAUUUGGCUAACGGCAGUCAGCAGAUUUAAAUACAGCAUUGCAGCUGUACUUAGCCUCCACAGUCGUAAGUAUGAAGCGAGUAGAACAGGGGGCUAAGCACACAGCCUUGUGCUGGAGCACCUGCGCUGAUGGAGAUUGUGGAUGAGAUGGAACUCAGAAAUUCUUUUGUGUCUGACCUCCUUUGGCUCAUGGCCAUGCUUUUUAAUGGAGCUGAAACACAUCUUGUGACUAAACAAAUAUGUUGGAUUCAGGAAUUUGAAAUACAAUUUCUAACUCUGCAAACAUUACUAAACUGGAGGAUGUGGUAAAUAGUGAAUCUUAUUGUAACAAAAUAUACAAAGACAGUGCAGGCAAAGCCUGCUUUACAGUUGUUUGGAAAACAGAAAUUCUCCCUUACAGAAUUCACAAAUCAAUGUCCCAAAAUUUGAGAUAUGACACAAGACUUGCUUUUACGGAACUUAAGUGAAAAAGUACAUAAAUAGCACAAAAUCUAUUUAUUUUUCAACUCCCAGGAUAGAAAAAACUAUAAUCAACAGUUGCACAAAGUUAAGUUUCUCCUUAUAUUGUUUCAAGUUCUUUUGCUAGUAAUUUGCAAUUUGCACGGCAGAUAAUGCAACUUUGUGUUAUGGAAAAUUGCAAUACAGAUCACAGGGAAAUAAUACCCCCUAGCACAGGAAUCGGCUGUAAUAUAGUUUGAGAACAGGAGUUGCAAUAUAAGUAAGUAAAGAGACAGUAUAUUUUGAUAAGUAGAAAGUGAGCCAUAGCAUCCUUAGUAAAUAAGACUAAAUUUGGCUAAAGUCUCGAAGGUUCUAUGGGUAGAGAUGCAGAAAAGAUUAAAGGUAGUAGUAAUUAGUAAGGCCUCCACCACCAUCGCUGGCAGUGCAUUCCAUGCACCCACCACUCUCUGUGUGAGAAAUUUACUUCUGACAUCCUCCUUGUACAGUACCUGCUUCCAAGCACCUUAAAACUAUGCAAACUCACAUUAGCCAUUUCAGUCCUGAGAAAAAGCUUCUGACUAUCCACACAAUCAGUGCCUCUCACCAUCUUAUACACCUCUAUCAGGUCACCUCUCAUCCUCUGUCAGCCCAAGGAGAAAAGGCCAAGUUCACUCAACCUAUUCUCAUAACGCACUAUUAUCUCCAACAGGAAAUAAUAAGAUAAAGGAAGACCUGGUUGCAGGGUGAGUGGUGUUGAACUGGGAGAGCUCUUUAAAAUGGUGGAAGUAAACCAUAUAACCAUAUAACAAUCACAGCACGGAAACAGGCCAUCUCGGCCCUCCUAGUCCGUGCCGAACUCUUAAUCUCACCUAGUCCCACCUACCCGCACUCAGCCCAUAACCCUCCACUCCUUUCUUGUCCAUAUACCUAUCCAAUUUUACCUUAAAUGACACAACUGAACUGGCCUCUACUACUUCUACAGGAAGCUCAUUCCACACAGCUAUCACUCUCUGAGUAAAGAAAUACCCCCUCGUGUUUCCCUUAAACUUUUGCCCCCUAACUCUCAAAUCAUGUC